CCUACGGGAGGCAGCAGUGAGGAAUAUUGGUCAAUGGGCGCGAGCCUGAACCAGCCAAGUCGCGUGAGGGAAGACGGUCCUAUGGAUUGUAAACCUCUUUUGUCGGGGAGCAAAAGACGCCACGCGUGGCGUUCCGAGAGUACCCGAAGAAAAAGCAUCGGCUAACUCCGUGCCAGCAGCCGCGGUAAUACGGAGGAUGCGAGCGUUAUCCGGAUUUAUUGGGUUUAAAGGGUGCGCAGGCGGUCUGUUAAGUCCGCGGUAAAAGCCCGGGGCUCAACCCCGGCCCGCCGUUGAAACUGGCAGUCUCGAGUUGGAGAGAAGUAUGCGGAAUGCGCGGUGUAGCGGUGAAAUGCAUAGAUAUCACGCAGAACUCCGAUUGCGAAGGCAGCAUACCGGCGCUCAACUGACGCUGAGGCACGAAAGCGUGGGGAUCGAACAGGAUUAGAUACCCCUGUAGUC
This 459-nucleotide ribosomal RNA is filed under the name uncultured bacterium. RNAcentral's name for it is "partial 16S ribosomal RNA". It matches the Rfam family "Bacterial small subunit ribosomal RNA", at positions 338 to 795 of the family's 1533-position model. The record is from RNAcentral.